This 120-nucleotide ribosomal RNA is filed under the name Enterobacter asburiae. Its description in RNAcentral is "partial 23S ribosomal RNA". The stretch from base 1 to 102 matches the Rfam family "Bacterial large subunit ribosomal RNA", at positions 2824 to 2925 of the family's 2925-position model. The record is from RNAcentral. Lineage: Bacteria; Pseudomonadati; Pseudomonadota; Gammaproteobacteria; Enterobacterales; Enterobacteriaceae. RNAcentral also lists the same sequence under 3 other names.
GUCCUGAAGGAACGUUGAAGACGACGACGUUGAUAGGUCGGGUGUGUAAGCGCAGCGAUGCGUUGAGCUAACCGAUACUAAUGAACCGUGAGGCUUAACCUUACAACGCCGAAGGUGUUU